This 433-nucleotide ribosomal RNA is filed under the name uncultured bacterium. RNAcentral describes it as "bacterial SSU rRNA". It matches the Rfam family "Bacterial small subunit ribosomal RNA", at positions 29 to 506 of the family's 1533-position model. The record is from RNAcentral.
ACGAACGCUGGCGGCAUGCCUAACACAUGCAAGUCGAACGAGAUCCUUCGGGGUCUAGUGGCGCACGGGUGCGUAACGCGUGGGAAUCUGCCCUUGGGUUCGGAAUAACAGUUAGAAAUGACUGCUAAUACCGGAUGAUGUCUUCGGACCAAAGAUUUAUCGCCCAAGGAUGAGCCCGCGUAGGAUUAGGUAGUUGGUGGGGUAAAGGCCUACCAAGCCGACGAUCCUUGGCUGGUCUGAGAGGAUGAUCAGCCACACUGGGACUGAGACACGGCCCAGACUCCUACGGGAGGCAGCAGUGGGGAAUAUUGGACAAUGGGCGAAAGCCUGAUCCAGCAAUGCCGCGUGAGUGAUGAAGGCCUUAGGGUCGUAAAGCUCUUUUACCCGGGAUGAUAAUGACAGUACCGGGAGAAGAAGCUCCGGCUAACUCCGU